ACGUUGGAUAUAAAUCACAUAGUAGAAGCUUUAGAUAGUGAUUCUGUGUAGUGGGCUUAAGUACAAAGGAGGUUUAUGCAGGGUAUAUCAUAUACAAGAAGGUAAGAAAAAUAAAAGAAAGAUAAAAGCAGAAAUCAUCAGACCAAAGUGCCUGAACAAGAAAAAUGAAAGAAGUACUCUAAUUUAAUUUCAUUUCAUUUGAUAAUGGAUAUUCGGGGCAACGCCCGGGCACAUACUAAUAUAUAUAUAUAUAUAGGAUCAAGAUCAUGUGAGAACCUAGGUUUAUAAUAGAAACUAGGAACUCAUCUGGACCGUUGAUCGCACUCAAUCUAACGGCUCACAUUCCACCCGCCUCAUUAAGGGCAAAAUGGUAAAUUCGCGCUUUCAAUGACUUGCUUCAAUUGAUCUGAUUUUCAUUUCUACUUUCUCUCUCUUCAUUUCAUUUUCUCUCUCUUCCUCUGAAUUCUCUCUAAUUCUCUCUCUUCCUUCGAAUUUUUCUUCGGUCAUCAAGUUUUUUCUCUUUCGAUUUUCUUCAUUGUUUUGAGGGGAAGAGGAGUGUGCUAAACUUGCAGGAGAAAUGAAGCAGCAGCGAAAAGUUGCCUUUAGGAGAUCAUAUAUCGAAAGGAUCACUGAGAUUACAAAGAACAGUCGGAAAUUGGACACAAAUAUUGAUCGCAUUUUGAAGGAAACAAGAGAGCUUAAGUUGGAGAGUAACUAUAUUAAGGAACGCCUUCAUCGUACAUAUGCAGUGGUUGAUGAAACAAUAUUAAGGUGAACACUCUGAAACAAUAUGUACUUUAUGUAGUGGUUUAUGAAACAAUAUUAAGGUCUCAAUAAAAUUUGUGGUGUUUCCUUUUCA
This is a long non-coding RNA of Chenopodium quinoa (quinoa), 859 nucleotides long. RefSeq lists it as uncharacterized. The transcript is spliced from 2 exons. The record is from RefSeq and is a predicted model, not a curated record. NCBI's taxonomy places the organism in Eukaryota, Viridiplantae, Streptophyta, Magnoliopsida, Caryophyllales, Amaranthaceae.